RNAcentral lists this long non-coding RNA (7741 nucleotides) under Ananas comosus (pineapple). RNAcentral describes it as "long non-coding RNA (ACOM_LNC043577)". The record is from RNAcentral. Lineage: Eukaryota; Viridiplantae; Streptophyta; Magnoliopsida; Poales; Bromeliaceae.
GAAACAGAAAAUUUGCAACAGAGACCUUCACAGCGCGAGUAAAUCGCGUGUACGCACCUCCACGUUCGACCUCGUGCGAUUCGGUACAUAAAAUGUCGCAACUUUGCGAAAUUACCGUUUUGCCAUCACCGACCUCUCCUCGAUCAACGCGCGAUCUCCGCAGAUCCGUCCGUCAGAUUUGCGAACGGAUUGCACCAGUGCGAUCAGCACCUCGGAGACAACAAAGCUACACUUUCGAUUCAUUUCGAUCGACCACGGAUUCACAACAAAAUCCAACCUUCUUCCAAUAGAAGGAAACACACACACAAAUACAUAUAAAGCAUGUAUUUUUGGAUUUUCUCGAAAUCCGUGCGUCAAACUCAAAAUCCAUCAGCGCCAAUAAUUCCAGAACAGCUGAACCGGUCGAAACGAGCUAUUGGACUGAUGUGAACGGAGUCCGAUACACACCAGAAGCCAACUCUACUCCAUGGCUUCUCCGGAAAACCGGAGUUACUAUUCACUUAAGUGAAAACUGAAAGUCGCGUAUCUUCUCCAUUUUAGCUCAUUUUCGCCCGAAACUUGACGAGUGCUUAUGUAAUUAAAUUACACACAUAAACAUCAUCAACAGAGAGUUUAGUUGCACUGUCAAAAAAAAUCUCAGUCCUUACAUCAUCCCCCCCUUAAAAGAAGUUUCGUCCUCGAAACUUGACCACGUACCCACCGUAAACAAACUCUGACAUUGCCCUACCAACGCGGUAACACCUUUGGAUACUGGUCAGUCACAAUUCUAGAAUUGGACAGAUCAACCUUAGAAAAGGGGAGAAUAGGACUGCGGUUCCACAAGAACAAGACGAGGGGAACGUACCAAACCAAAGUCUGCGGACCAUAACACACCGGGAUCAACACCAUCCUGUAACCUUGGUCCGAAAAGCCUCAACCGACUCGACCACGUCACUAAGUUCACGAGAAAGAAUCACGAGCCAACACUACCAAACUGGAGUCUAAUUACCUAGAUCGGAGCAAAAUAUUUUCGACUAGCCAGCAAUAUCAACUUGCUCACCACGAGCGAAAACGAAACGUUCUCCUAAAACUCGAGUUGGUAGAAACAGCCUCUGAGACUACAGUCUCCCACUAACCGAUCACACAACUACCGAAGUCAAGUCCACAUCCACGGAAAGCCGCCUUUGACAUUCGACAGUCUUAGGUCCCACAACCUCACCUUUCACCUGACCGAAAAGGUCGAGGGCUGACAAUACUAAUUGAGCUCGACAAUUCGCUUGCUCAAAUAAAACUGGUUCGACUAAACCAAUAAACUCGCCAUGCAAGUCCCAAAACUUGGUGCACAGGAUUGCCAAUCGCACUAUACGAUACCAACCAUCGGUGAUGCUCAACACCUGUCUCUAUAAGACCCUGUCGCUGCCGUCCUACAAAGGACCCUAGCAAUCGGUGUUUCGAGCAACACCAGAUAACUGCCUCAUUGAGACCCUGGCGCACCUGUCACCAAUUAACCGGACAAGCAUACAAUUCCAAAGUCGCACAAUAGGCCAAAAUACAAUCCUUACACAAUAUCACCUACGAUGACAAUCAAAGCCAACAACUAGGCUCAAGUCACUCAACCAGAAAUUCUGAACCUCAAGACAACAGACCGAAACUACUACCCAACAAACCUUUUAGCUAAAAGCGAGCACAACUAAGAGCAAUGAACAACUAAGAGCAUUAAACUCAUCUCACACUUCCGGCUGGUAAUUGGCUCUGAUACCAUCUGUGACGCCCCAACUUCCCAGGGGGUCACCCAUCCUAGGACUACUCCCGUCCUAGCACGCUUAACUCUCUUAACCUCUUGGGUCUUGCCACCACCCAAAAUGCUUAAGCCGGGUUAAGAGUUUAGCCCUAUUAUAUCUCAUAUAUAGGACUAUCUGGGGUCUCACAAUCUCCUCUCCUUUAAGCCCUGACGUCCUCGUCAGGCUCAGACUCACAAAUACCAGGCGAUGUGAGACUCGUCUCGCUAGCCCGUCAUCCAGACCCUGGCUCAGCCGAGACUCAUCUCACACUUCCGGCUGGUAAUUGGCUCUGAUACCAUCUGUGACGCCCCGACUCGAACUAAAGUCAGAACCACCUGCAGUGAUGAUAAAUCAACUGCGCAAACCUGCCAAGAGAAUCCAAGGCCCACUACGUGGUCAAAGAUGACCGAUACCUAGCCAUCCUCACAAAACUAUCUCUCUAGCUUUUCAUACAAAACAGCCUAGAGAACACAUCGACCCAAUCCAUAAGUCCCAAAUGGGAAGAUGGUAUUUCGUUCCUCUUUCGACAGUAUAUUGUCUGCAGCCAAUAUACUUAUCAAAAGAAAAGCGAAAUAUCCGGAGAUCCACUACCAACAACCUGUUGGAAGUACAACGCGAUAAAGUAUCAAGCCACUUGAUACCUCUCUACUGAACCAGAAGCUCACAACCAUUACUAUCGAAACAUCGACUUUACGAGUCGACAUUCGAAAUUAGAACGACCCUGGAACAUCUCGAAUCUAGACCAACUACAACUAACACACAACACACCAAUUUGGGUGUUAGAAUAACCGCAUACGAUGUAUGCCUUAACGAAAACAUGACACCAAAACUGUGUCAAUCCGACUCUAGUACAUGUCAAUUGACGGAAGAACGAGAUAAAGGUCAAAAGAUCCAAACCGCUGAUUUCAUCAGCAAUCAAGGAAAAGAGGUAGACAUCACAGCCCUACCCAAAGAUCUGAAGAAACAACACCAACAAUGCAGUCGUCUAAACGACCGCUAACCAAACCUUGGGCUACGCCCUAGUAGCCCCACGGAAGUCGCGACCUUAACAGAUCUCAACGCCGUCCGCAAAGACACUCGCAGUAGCACUCGUGUCCUAAGUAGGAAGAGUGGCUCGGGCAUCGGCAAUAGAAUAAUUGCCUAUGCUCGAAAAUCUCACAUGGCCCUUCAGGGCCCCCACCUGACAGGAGUGGCACCACCUGGGGGAACGUCGCCCCACCACUCGAUGUCCGAAAAAGUGCACCGCCACUACUCCCGACUUAGACACCAGCUUGUGCGAAAACCGAAGUACGAAAAGAAGUAACCCUGCACCUCGAGUUUACCAAACUCGAAUACACACCGGGACACAAGCCCAAACCCCGCACUCACGUGCCUAUACACCGUAGGUCUUCCUAUAGGUCAACCUAACCAAUGGUAUCAGAGCAAAAGGUUACAACCACAACACCAUUCACAGGACCCCUGGGAAGUUGGGGCGUCACACUUUUGUUCAAUUUUCAUUUCCAAGUUUCUGCAUUUCCUGAUUUUUUUUCUUAUUUACUUGGUUUCAUUUAUCCAUUACUAUUUUUCCCCCCUUUUUCUAUUCUUCUUUAAGGCUAUGAUGAUAUGUAGAGAGAAAUGUGGAAAAUGUUGCUUUUGAAUGGGUGGAAGUUUGGACGGCCUACUCAGGCAACCGCUUCUGCCUUUUCUUAUUCUUAGUAUUUACACACAUUUCCCUCCAACGGUAAUCUACCACUCCCGUUGCACAUAUUUACUUCCCACAAUAGCUUACUUUUCCUGCUACUACUCAGUGCUUAUGAGUGGUGUUGCCGAACCUCCUUAACUGAGCCUUAUUUUUUUAUACAUUUUUUUCAGAUUGUUUGAAUUGUUUCUUUUGUCAUUACUUACUUUGGUUUAGCAUGUGCCUAUGGAGGUAAAAAAACAUAUGUUUUCAGUUGGAUCGAUUUUAUCCUGUAGGGACUCUUCUGAGCGUGUAUAUUAUUAGUAGAUUUGUUUUCCCUCUUUAAAUACACAGUAUAGUUGUUUAACAAAAACACUAUAUAUAGAGAUGUUUACUUGGUGAUGUUCUGUGUUGCCUACAAAUUUUCUCGGACAAAUAGAACAUGCGGACUAUAUAUCAGACCUAAUGAUGACAAGCGCUUUGCGUCAAAUUUCUUUUAUGCUCUUCUCUAUCAGUAUCUGUUCUCUGAUCACUGUCAGUUUACAUCCGCAUAUUUUGUUUUGUAAUUUUUUCUGUUUACUUUAAAGCUUGGGACUUCUUGCAUAUUGAGAUUCACACUAAUAUUACUUGGUUUCAUUUAUCCCUUGUUGUUUUUCCCCGAUGUUUCUAUUCUUCAACUAAAGGUAAGUGUGGAAAAUGCUGGUUGCAAAUGGUUGGAAGUUUGGAUGGCCUGCUCAAAGGCAACCGCUUCUAACUGUUCUUAUUCUUAGUAGUUGCACACAGUUUUCCUCCAAUGAUAAUCUACUAUUCGGUGACCACUUCUAUCUGCUCUUAUCCCUGGUCAUUGCACAUAUUUACUGCCUGCAGUAAUCUGCUGAUUUUAUUGCUACCCUGUGCUUAUGGGCGGUUUUGGCGAAUCUACUUAAGUGAGCCUUACUUUUCCUUGCAUUUUUUUAAACUUGUUUGUGCUGUUCCCGUUGUUACUCAACCCCCCUGUUUUUCAUGCGGCAUUAUAUUAUAAUUUAUACAAUUAUUUGGCCUGAUUCUUCCUUACCUACUUCUUAGGCGAACUUUCUAUGUGACGAAUCCUACGAAUCUACCAGCUAAAAAAAAUGUCCAAAAUCUUUUGUGAAAUUUCAGCAUAUAAUGAUUUGGGUGGUUACUUGAUGUCUGAACUGCUACAAUGUAUGCAGACCAUCAGAAUUUAUGUUAAAUGUGGUGCAUGUUAAUGGUCUCCGUUGCUUCGGUAUAUUGUUAUUUUACGAACAUUGCUUUGUUUCAUUUAUUCCUUACUGUCUCUUGCUAAUUUUCUUGCUCUUCUUUAAAGCUAUGAUGAUAGGUAGAGGGAAGUGCCGCAAAUAUUGGCUUCGAACGAGUUGCUGUUUGGACAGAGUGGAAGUUUGGAUGGCCUACUCAUAGGCAACCGCUUUCUCCUAUUGUGGCCUUUAGCGAUUGUGCACAUUUCUCUUCAAUGGUAAUCUACUGCUCAGCAACUAUUUCCUACCAUUCUUACUUUUUUUGUUGUCUCAUUUUUUAUUUUCUUGCUCUUCUUUAAAGCUAUGAUGCUAGGUAUAGGGGAGUGCCGCAAAUAUUUACUUCGAACAAGUUGCGGUUUGGACAGAGUGGAAGUUUGGAUGGUCUACUCAUAGGCAACCACUUCCUCCUAUUGUGGCCCUUAGCGAUUGCACACAUUUCUCUUCAAUGGUAAUCAACUGUUCUGCAACUAUUUCCUACCAUUCUUACUUUAGCCCCCGCAGCCACAUAGAACCAACAGCAAAAUGAACGGCCUUGAAUUACACGCGCUCAUUAGCUUAUAUUACCGAAAAUAAAAGGAAUAUUUCAUAUUUGAUGAAAAUCCGGUCCAAAUUAAGUUGUUUGAUGUAGCAAUAUUUAAUGGUUAAUUACUUGAAGAAGGCACUCUAGCCUCUCUUACACAGUUACACUAAUAAAUUAUAAAUUCUGAAUCCGAUAUUCUAAGAAUAUCUCAUUCCCUCAAAACGAGGGAAGUGUGGGAAAUGUUACUUUUGAAUGGAUGGAAAUUUGGCCGGCAUCCUCAUAGGCAACCGCUCCUUACUGUUCUUGCUCUUAGUAGUUACACACCUUUGCCUCCGCUGGUAAUCUACUACUCGGUAGUCACUUCUUGCUGUUAAUAUUCCUGAGCAUUGCACGUGUUGCCUCCACUGGUAAUGUACUACUCGGUGGUCACUUCUUGCUGUUCUGAUUCUUGCUUUGGGCUGAAUCAAGAGUUUUGGUUUUUUUUCUUUCUUUGGUAAACGCUCUACCUACUAAGAUUACUACUGGGAAAAAAAAAGUAUGUACAAAAACAAUGUCACGCCCCGGGGUCCCUCUCAGUUUAAAAGAUAGCGAAAAAGCGUCUGAAUUUUUUUUUAAAAAAAAAACCUGACCCCAGAGUAUGCCAGAUCCGCCACAAAUACAGGGAAUCCACUGUGCACACGGACAGAGUCUCCCCUGUAUUUGCACGGCGUCGCACAAGUACAAGAAGUAACCCAGGUACACCCACAACCAAAUGAAUAUACAAAUAACCAACAAUUAUAUAUUCAUACACCAUUCACAUCACAGGUUCACAUUUAUAUAUUCAAUAAUUAAACAUAAAUCCACAUCUAUCAGUUAAAAUGUUUCCAACCACAGAAACAGAUUUUGAAAUACUAAGAUACAAAAUCCACAGAAAACCUUUUGAAAACUGUUCCCUACACAGGAACUUUUAUCUUUUCAAAACGCUACCACGAGGGGUAGAAAACCAUUUUCAUUUCAAGAAAACACAAAUUCCUUUAUUACAUUCCAAAACCAACUGAAAACUCAGAUAUCCAAAUAGUAAAAUAAAACUGAACCAUAAUAUGUCUAAGUUAGUUAUUUAUUUAAGCAUGAAGGGUAAGGGAAGAUAAACCAAACCACGGGACGGAAAGCUCUAUCGUAUGCUAGACCCGAUCCUCACCAGCUGUCCCACUCGGACCUGCUACGUCACCUGUAAUGGGGGCGGGGGGUGAGAACAUGUAAACAUGUCUCCCCUCCCAGUGGGUACCGCAAGCCGAAGAAGGCGAGGGNNNNNNNNNNNNNNNNNNNNNNNNNCUCGAUCAACGCGCGAUCUCCGCAGAUCCGUCCGUCAGAUUUGCGAACGGAUUGCACCAGUGCGAUCAGCACCUCGGAGACAACAAAGCUACACUUUCGAUUCAUUUCGAUCGACCACGGAUUCACAACAAAAUCCAACCUUCUUCCAAUAGAAGGAAACACACACAAAUACAUAUAAAGCAUGUAUUUUUGGAUUUUCUCGAAAUCCGUGCGUCAAACUCAAAAUCCAUCAGCGCCACUAGUUCCAGAACAGCUGAACCGGUCGAAACGAGCUAUUGGACUGAUAUGAACGGAGUCCGAUACGCACCAAAAGCCAACUCUACUCCGUGGCUUCUCCGAAAAAUCGGAGUUACUAUUCACUUAAGUGAAAACUAAAAAUCGCGUAUCUUCUCCAUUUUAGCUCAUUUUCGUCCGAAACUUGACGAGUGCUUAUGUAAUUAAAUUACACACAUAAACAUCAUCAACAGAGAGUUUAGUUGCACUGUCAAAAAUCUCAGUCCUUACAAAUAUUCUUCAUUUAUUCAAUAUAAGUUAAACUUCUAACCCUAAACCCUAAACCUUCCGUGCUUCCAGGUCGUUUUCGAUGUUGCGACUUUCGAAUCGUCGAUCGGCUCCGUUAAACUUGAUCUAGUGUAUUUGAAGUACUUAGAAAAUAAAUUUUAUGAUUUUUCGAUAUCAUUUGCCUAGUGAUCGAAGGGGCUCAAAAUCAAAUAAUUUUAAUGGCCGUAGUGAGCCGUUUGCAAGUUUAACGGUGUAGAAAUAUCCAAAUCACGUGAAAUUUUGAUAGAAAAUUCUUUAUACUAUAUAAAAUAAGAUUAAUAUCUUUGAUCUAAUUUUUUUUUUUUGAGAGAUAGGUAGCACGCUACCCGCUUCGUUUAUUUCAUUUAGAAAUAAACUUAGCUAGAAAUGUGAGUCAACUAGGAUUCGAACUUGGGUCUCGAGUACCAACCACCAAGCCCUUUGCCACUUGCUCUAGGGACGGUCGGUUCUUUGACCUAAAAUUUAAAUGUCAUAUUAUCACGUUUUGUAAGAUUUUUAUUUUCAGCCGUUGAUUUUGAGCCCCUUAGUUCACUAGGCAAAUGAUAUCGAAAAAUUACAAAAUUUAUUUUCUAGGUACUUCAAAUACUCUAGAUCAAGUUUAACGGAGCCGAUCGACGAUUCGAAAGUCGCAACAUCAAAAACGACCUGGAAGCACGGAAGGCUCCAUGCUUCCAAAAGUAUAGUAGCCUCACUCUAU